RNAcentral lists this ribosomal RNA (459 nucleotides) under uncultured bacterium. RNAcentral describes it as "partial 16S ribosomal RNA". It matches the Rfam family "Bacterial small subunit ribosomal RNA", at positions 338 to 795 of the family's 1533-position model. The record is from RNAcentral.
CCUAGGGGUGGCAGCAGUGAGGAAUAUUGGUCAAUGGUCGGGAGACUGAACCAGCCAAGCCGCGUGAGGGAUGAAGGUACAGAGUAUCGUAAACCUCUUUUGUCAGGGAACAAAGGCGGGGACGUGUCCCCGGAUGAGUGUACCUGACGAACAAGCAUCGGCUAACUCCGUGCCAGCAGCCGCGGUAAUACGGAGGAUGCGAGCGUUAUCCGGAUUUAUUGGGUUUAAAGGGUGCGCAGGCGGUCUGUUAAGUCAGCGGUCAAAGCCCGGGGCUCAACCCCGGCCCGCCGUUGAAACUGGCAGUCGCGAGUUGGAGAGAAGGAGGCGGAAUGGGCGGUGUAGCGGUGAAAUGCAAAGAUAUCGCGCAGAAAUCCGAUUGCGAAGGCAGCAUGCCGGGUCCACACGGACGCUGAGGCACGAAAGCGUGGGUAUCGAACAGGAUUAGAUACCCGAGUAGUC